GGGCUCAUAGCUUAGCCGGUAAAGCACUCGGCUCUUAACCGAGUGAUCGUGGGUUCGAUCCCCACUGAGCCCG
This 73-nucleotide transfer RNA is filed under the name Candidatus Iainarchaeum sp. RNAcentral's name for it is "tRNA-Lys". It matches the Rfam family "tRNA". Rfam says of the family: Transfer RNA (tRNA) molecules are approximately 80 nucleotides in length. Their secondary structure includes four short double-helical elements and three loops (D, anti-codon, and T loops). The record is from RNAcentral. Lineage: Archaea; Nanobdellati; Candidatus Iainarchaeota; Candidatus Iainarchaeia; Candidatus Iainarchaeales; Candidatus Iainarchaeaceae.